CGUCUAUAUACGUAUAGCAUAUCAAUAAGCGGAGGAAAAGAAACUAACAAGGAUUCCCUUAGUAACGGCGAGUGAAGCGGGAAGAGCUCAAAUUUGAAAUCUUCAAGGUUCUACCUUGACGAAUUAUAGUUUAAAGAAGUGUUUUCUGUUAGAGGAGUAGGCAAAAGUUCCUUGGAAUAGGGACAUCAUAGAGGGUGAGAAUCCCGUAUUUGGUUAUUCUUUCUAGCUGUGUGAUACACUUUCAAAGAGUCGGAUUGUUUGGGAAUGCAGUCCAAAAUGGGUGGUAAAUUUCAUCUAAAGCUAAAUAUUGGCGAGAGACCGAUAGCGAACAAGUACCGUGAGGGAAAGAUGAAAAGAACUUUGAAUAGAGAGUUAAACAGUACGUGAAAUUGUCAAAAGGGAAGCGUUUGACACCAGUGUUGUUUUUCCGAAAAUCAAUUAAGAGUGGCUUGAUUUUGUGUUGUAUUGACCUUAUCAGCUUUCUUCACUCUUUUUCGAGUCUUUCUUAAUGCACUUUUCGGUUAACAAGUCAACAUCAAUUUCUUUUGUUGUAAAAGGGUAUUUGGAAGGUGGCUUUCUUUUCGGAGAAAGUGUUUAUAGCCUUAUACCUCUACAAUCGGAGAGAUUGAGGUCUGCAGCGUAGAUCCUUCGGGGUUAGAUACACUUGUGCUAAGUUAUAGCCCUGUAUAGACAACUUGUUGACUAUACUCGGUCAUGUAGCUUACUCGCUUGUGCUAUUUUACCUACGCUUAGGAUGUUGAGUCAUCACACAUCUCU
RNAcentral lists this ribosomal RNA (777 nucleotides) under uncultured Neocallimastigales. RNAcentral's name for it is "partial large subunit ribosomal RNA". It matches the Rfam family "Eukaryotic large subunit ribosomal RNA", at positions 26 to 618 of the family's 3401-position model. The record is from RNAcentral. Lineage: Eukaryota; Fungi; Neocallimastigomycota; Neocallimastigomycetes; Neocallimastigales.